This 429-nucleotide ribosomal RNA is filed under the name Streptococcus pneumoniae K2557. RNAcentral describes it as "bacterial SSU rRNA". It matches the Rfam family "Bacterial small subunit ribosomal RNA", at positions 1116 to 1533 of the family's 1533-position model. The record is from RNAcentral. Lineage: Bacteria; Bacillati; Bacillota; Bacilli; Lactobacillales; Streptococcaceae.
UGCCAUCAUUCAGUUGGGGCACUCUAGCGAGACUUGCCGGUAAUAAACCGGAGGAAGGUGGGGAUGACGUCAAAUCAUCAUGCCCCUUAUGACCUGGGCUACACACGUGCUACAAUGGCUGGUACAACGAGUCGCAAGCCGGUGACGGCAAGCUAAUCUCUUAAAGCCAGUCUCAGUUCGGAUUGUAGGCUGCAACUCGCCUACAUGAAGUCGGAAUCGCUAGUAAUCGCGGAUCAGCACGCCGCGCGGUGAAUACGUUCCCGGGGCCUUGUACACCACCGCCCGUCACACCACGAGAGUUUGUAACACCCGAAGUCGGUGAGGUAACCGUAAGGAGCCAGCCGCCUAAGGUGGGAUAGAUGAUUGGGGUGAAGUCGUAACAAGGUAGCCGUAUCGGAAGGUGCGGCUGGAUCACCUCCUUUCUAAGGA